Molecule: long non-coding RNA, 417 nt
Filed under: Lonchura striata (white-rumped munia)
Lineage: Eukaryota; Metazoa; Chordata; Aves; Passeriformes; Estrildidae
Description: domestica (Bengalese finch) lncRNA (ENSLSDG00000004174.1)
Source: RNAcentral
GGCGCGGAGGGGGCGGGGCCAGUCGGGACCCCCCGAGCGCCGCCGCCAUGCCCGAGGCCAAGGCCGCUGCCAAAAAAGAGGCGAAAAAGGAGAAAAAAGAGAAAAAAGAAGAGAAAAAAGAGGAGAAAAAAGAGGAACAAAAUGAGGAGAAAAAAGACGAAAUUGGGCAAAAGGCGGCGGGGGAGGGGCCCGAGGAGCCCCCGAAAGGUGGGGGAGGGGAGCGGGAAUUUCGGGAUUUUUGGGGAAUUUUUCGGGAAUUUUUGGGGAAUUUUUGGGGAAAUUUGGGAAAUUUUGGGGAAUUUUUGGGGAUUUUUGGGGGAAAUUUGGGAGUUUUUGGGAUUUUUUGGGGAUUUUUGGGGAUUUUUUUGGGAAAUUUGGGAAUUUUUGGGGAUUUUUUGAGUUUUUUUGGGAAUUUUU